GAUGAACGCUGGCGGCGUGCCUAAUACAUGCAAGUCGAGCGAACGGACGAGAAGCUUGCUUCUCUGAUGUUAGCGGCGGACGGGUGAGUAACACGUGGAUAACCUACCUAUAAGACUGGGAUAACUUCGGGAAACCGGAGCUAAUACCGGAUAAUAUUUUGAACCGCAUGGUUCAAAAGUGAAAGACGGUCUUGCUGUCACUUAUAGAUGGAUCCGCGCUGCAUUAGCUAGUUGGUAAGGUAACGGCUUACCAAGGCAACGAUGCAUAGCCGACCUGAGAGGGUGAUCGGCCACACUGGAACGGAGACACGGUCCAGACUCCUACGGGAGGCAGCAGUAGGGAAUCUUCCGCAAUGGGCGAAAGCCUGAGGAGCAACGCCGCGUGAGUGAUGAAGGUCUUCGGAUCGUAAAACUCUGUUAUUAGGGAAGAACAUAUGUGUAAGUAACUGUGCACAUCUUGACGGUACCUAAUCAGAAAGCCACGGCUAACUACGUG
Molecule: ribosomal RNA, 496 nt
Filed under: uncultured bacterium
Lineage: Bacteria
Description: partial 16S ribosomal RNA
Rfam family: Bacterial small subunit ribosomal RNA
Source: RNAcentral